AGAGUUUGAUCAUGGCUCAGAACGAACGCUGGCGGCGUGCUUAACACAUGCAAGUCGAACGAGAAAGCUUCCUUCGGGAAGUGAGUAGAGUGGCGCACGGGUGAGUAACGCGUAGGUAAUCUACCCUUAUAUCUGGGAUAGCCGACCGAAAGGUUGGCUAAUACCGGAUACCCUUUUUAUAUCGCGAGUUAUAGAGAGGAAAGGUGACCUCUGAUCAAGUUGCCGUAUAGGGAUGAGCCUGCGUACCAUUAGCUAGUUGGUGGGGUAAAGGCCUACCAAGGCGACGAUGGUUAGCGGGUCUGAGAGGAUGAUCCGCCACACUGGAACUGGAACACGGACCAGACUCCUACGGGAGGCAGCAGUGAGGAAUAUUGCGCAAUGGGGGCAACCCUGACGCAGCGACGCCGCGUGGGUGAGGAAGGUUUUCGGAUCGUAAAGCCCUGUCAGGUGGGAAGAAGUGUUAUACGGUUAAUACCCGUAUAAUUUGACGGUACCACCAGAGGAAGCACCGGCUAACUCCGUGCCAGCAGCCGCGGUGAUACGGAGGGUGCGAGCGUUGUUCGGAAUUACUGGGCGUAAAGGGCGCGUAGGCGGCUUGAUAAGUCAGAUGUGAAAGCCCACGGCUCAACCGUGGAAGUGCAUCUGAAACUGUCUGGCUUGAGUAUUGGAUGGGAAAGUGGAAUUCCAGGUGUAGAGGUGAAAUUCGUAGAUAUCUGGAGGAACACCGGUGGCGAAAGGCGACUUUCUGGACAAAUACUGACGCUGAGGCGCGAAAGCGUGGGGAGCAAACAGGAUUAGAUACCCUGGUAGUCCACGCCGUAACGAUGAUAACUAGAGGUAGGGGGGUGUUGAUCCCUUCUGUCCCGCAGCUAACGCAUUAAGUUAUCCGCCUGGGGAGUACGGUCGCAAGAUUAAAACUCAAAGGAAUUGAC
This 932-nucleotide ribosomal RNA is filed under the name uncultured Desulfobulbaceae bacterium. RNAcentral describes it as "bacterial SSU rRNA". It matches the Rfam family "Bacterial small subunit ribosomal RNA", at positions 8 to 914 of the family's 1533-position model. Lineage: Bacteria; Pseudomonadati; Thermodesulfobacteriota; Desulfobulbia; Desulfobulbales; Desulfobulbaceae. The record is from RNAcentral.